RNAcentral lists this transfer RNA (72 nucleotides) under Gemmatimonadota bacterium. Its description in RNAcentral is "tRNA-Cys". It matches the Rfam family "tRNA". From Rfam's summary of the family: Transfer RNA (tRNA) molecules are approximately 80 nucleotides in length. Their secondary structure includes four short double-helical elements and three loops (D, anti-codon, and T loops). RNAcentral also lists the same sequence under 2 other names. The record is from RNAcentral. Lineage: Bacteria; Pseudomonadati; Gemmatimonadota.
GGCGCGGUAGCCAAGUGGUAAGGCGGCGGUCUGCAAAACCGCUAUUCGCGGGUUCGAUUCCCGCCCGCGCCU